RNAcentral lists this long non-coding RNA (793 nucleotides) under Homo sapiens (human). RNAcentral's name for it is "HSALNT0298046". The record is from RNAcentral. Lineage: Eukaryota; Metazoa; Chordata; Mammalia; Primates; Hominidae.
ACGGCACUGCAGUGACAUUUGUCCCCACACCCGGGGAAGUGGCCAGCGGAGCCUUAUGUUUUCUUGAAAGUUCAAAGUCUCAGGUGUCACAAGUCCCCUCAGCCAAAGAUUCCUCAGGUGGAGCCUUGCUUCCCAGAAGCCUCCAAAACAAACAGCAGCUCAUGGGCCUCUCCUCCCUGCUUCCCUGGGUUAGUUUUCCUCUGGAAAAUCAGAUGGGGUCUCACCAUGUUGCCCAAGCUGGUCUUGAACUCCUGGCACAAGCGAUCCUCCUGCCUCAGCCUCUGGAGCAGCAGGGACUACAGGCGCACACCACCACACCUGGCCAUAUACAUCACAUGUUGUUUAUACAUUCGUCUAUCGAUGGACAUGGGCAUCACCUCCACCUUUUUAGGCUGGUCACUGCAGCCUAAAUUCUGUCUAAUUCUGUUUUUAAUUUUAAUUCUGCUCCUCUGAGAUGAGCCAGCUUGUGCAUGAAGCAAGGCUUGAAGGAGAACACGGCUGCAUGGAUCGCUGGGCCACUGGACUGAGGUGCUUUGAAGGUGGCAAUCCACGAACCUUUGGAUUUGUGGAUCUGUGGAUCUGUGAAGCAAUGAGUUUCUUCAUUGUUGAAUUGAGGUUUAGGUCUCUUACAGCUAUGAGCCGCCUAGAUGAUGCAUCUUCCGAGAAGUUGCCCAGUUUCAAAAAUUACAGAAGAAAACAAAAAUGAACAGAACCACAGAGAAGUGGGAAUUAUUUUGCUGAUGUGAAUGCUGGAAAAAAAAUUAAAGUAUGUUUUGUAGCAAUUUUAAAGCAA